GUGGCCUCGUGGUUAGAGCGUCCGCCUCAGAUGCGGGAGGUCGUGGGUUCAAUUCCCGGUCAAGUCA
Non-coding RNA from Potamilus streckersoni, 67 nucleotides. NCBI's taxonomy places the organism in Eukaryota, Metazoa, Mollusca, Bivalvia, Unionida, Unionidae. The record is from the annotation of a GenBank genome assembly.